RNAcentral lists this ribosomal RNA (497 nucleotides) under uncultured bacterium. RNAcentral's name for it is "partial 16S ribosomal RNA". It matches the Rfam family "Bacterial small subunit ribosomal RNA", at positions 28 to 507 of the family's 1533-position model. The record is from RNAcentral.
GAUGAACGCUGGCGGCGUGCCUAAUACAUGCAAGUCGAGCGAACAGAUAAGGAGCUUGCUCCUUUGACGUUAGCGGCGGACGGGUGAGUAACACGUGGAUAACCUACCUAUAAGACUGGGAUAACUUCGGGAAACCGGGGCUAAUGCCGGAUAACAUUUAGAACCGCAUGGUUCUAAAGUGAAAGACGGUUUUGCUAUCACUUAUAGAUGGACCCGCGCCGUAUUAGCUAGUUGGUAAGGUAACGGCUUACCAAGGCAACGAUACGUAGCCGACCUGAGAGGGUGAUCGGCCACACUGGAACUGAGACACGGUCCAGACUCCUACGGGAGGCAGCAGUAGGGAAUCUUCCGCAAUGGGCGAAAGCCUGACGGAGCAACGCCGCGUGAGUGAUGAAGGUCUUCGGAUCGUAAAACUCUGUUAUUAGGGAAGAACAAAUGUGUAAGUAACUAUGCACGUCUUGACGGUACCUAAUCAGAAAGCCACGGCUAACUACGUG